GCUGUGGAUUGUCCUUUGGACAAUGGUAGGAGAGCGUUCUAAGGGCGUUGAAGCAUGAUCGUAAGGACAUGUGGAGCGCUUAGAAGUGAGAAUGCCGGUGUGAGUAGCGAAAGACGGGUGAGAAUCCCGUCCACCGAUUGACUAAGGUUUCCAGAGGAAGGCUCGUCCGCUCUGGGUUAGUCGGGUCCUAAGCUGAGGCCGACAGGCGUAGGCGAUGGAUAACAGGUUGAUAUUCCUGUACCACCUAUAAUCGUUUUAAUCGAUGGGGGGACGCAGUAGGAUAGGCGAAGCGUGCGAUUGGAUUGCACGUCUAAGCAGUAAGGCUGAGUAUUAGGCAAAUCCGGUACUCAUUAAGGCUGAGCUGUGAUGGGGAGAAGACAUUGUGUCUUCGAGUCGUUGAUUUCACACUGCCGAGAAAAGCCUCUAGAUAGAAAAUAGGUGCCCGUACCGCAAACCGACACAGGUAGUCAAGAUGAGAAUUCUAAGGUGAGCGAGCGAACUCUCGUUAAGGAACUCGGCAAAAUGACCCCGUAACUUCGGGAGAAGGGGUGCUCUUUAGGGUUAACGCCCAGAAGAGCCGCAGUGAAUAGGCCCAAGCGACUGUUUAUCAAAAACACAGGUCUCUGCUAAACCGUAAGGUGAUGUAUAGGGGCUGACGCCUGCCCGGUGCUGGAAGGUUAAGAGGAGUGGUUAGCUUCUGCGAAGCUACGAAUCGAAGCCCCAGUAAACGGCGGCCGUAACUAUAACGGUCCUAAGGUAGCGAAAUUCCUUGUCGGGUAAGUUCCGACCCGCACGAAAGGCGUAACGAUUUGGGCACUGUCUCAACGAGAGACUCGGUGAAAUCAUAGUACCUGUGAAGAUGCAGGUUACCCGCGACAGGACGGAAAGACCCCGUGGAGCUUUACUGUAGCCUGAUAUUGAAAUUCGGCACAGCUUGUACAGGAUAGGUAGGAGCCUUUGAAACGUGAGCGCUAGCUUACGUGGAGGCGCUGGUGGGAUACUACCCUAGCUGUGUUGGCUUUCUAACCCGCACCACUUAUCGUGGUGGGAGACAGUGUCAGGCGGGCAGUUUGACUGGGGCGGUCGCCUCCUAAAAGGUAACGGAGGCGCUCAAAGGUUCCCUCAGAAUGGUUGGAAAUCAUUCAUAGAGUGUAAAGGCAUAAGGGAGCUUGACUGCGAGACCUACAAGUCGAGCAGGGUCGAAAGACGGACUUAGUGAUCCGGUGGUUCCGCAUGGAAGGGCCAUCGCUCAACGGAUAAAAGCUACCCCGGGGAUAACAGGCUUAUCUCCCCCAAGAGUUCACAUCGACGGGGAGGUUUGGCACCUCGAUGUCGGCUCAUCGCAUCCUGGGGCUGUAGUCGGUCCCAAGGGUUGGGCUGUUCGCCCAUUAAAGCGGUACGCGAGCUGGGUUCAGAACGUCGUGAGACAGUUCGGUCCCUAUCCGUCGUGGGCGUAGGAAAUUUGAGAGGAGCUGUCCUUAGUACGAGAGGACCGGGAUGGACAUACCUCUGGUGUACCAGUUGUCGUGCCAACGGCAUAGCUGGGUAGCUAUGUGUGGACGGGAUAAGUGCUGAAAGCAUCUAAGCAUGAAGCCCCCCUCAAGAUGAGAUUUCCCAACUUCGGUUAUAAGAUCCCUCAAAGAUGAUGAGGUUAAUAGGUUCGAGGUGGAAGCAUGGUGACAUGUGGAGCUGACGAAUACUAA
Molecule: ribosomal RNA, 1703 nt
Filed under: Staphylococcus aureus
Lineage: Bacteria; Bacillati; Bacillota; Bacilli; Caryophanales; Staphylococcaceae
Description: partial 23S ribosomal RNA
Rfam family: Bacterial large subunit ribosomal RNA
Source: RNAcentral